This 330-nucleotide ribosomal RNA is filed under the name Clostridioides difficile. Its description in RNAcentral is "bacterial LSU rRNA". It matches the Rfam family "Bacterial large subunit ribosomal RNA", at positions 2592 to 2925 of the family's 2925-position model. The record is from RNAcentral. Lineage: Bacteria; Bacillati; Bacillota; Clostridia; Peptostreptococcales; Peptostreptococcaceae.
AGUGGUACGCGAGCUGGGUUCAGAACGUCGUGAGACAGUUCGGUCCCUAUCCGUCGCAGGCGUAGGAAAUUUGAGAAGACCUGUCCUUAGUACGAGAGGACCGGGCUGGACGUACCUCUGGUGUACCAGUUGUCCUGCCAAGGGCAUGGCUGGGUAGCUAUGUACGGAAUGGAUAAGCGCUGAAAGCAUCUAAGCGCGAAGCCAACUUCAAGAUAAGAUUUCCCACCGCAAGGGUAAGACCCCAGAAAGACUAUCUGGUUGAUAGGUCGAAGGUGUAAGUGCAGCAAUGUAUUUAGCUUAUCGAUACUAAUAGGUCGAGGACUUGACCAA